This 292-nucleotide ribosomal RNA is filed under the name Klebsiella pneumoniae. RNAcentral describes it as "partial 23S ribosomal RNA". It matches the Rfam family "Bacterial large subunit ribosomal RNA", at positions 2651 to 2925 of the family's 2925-position model. Lineage: Bacteria; Pseudomonadati; Pseudomonadota; Gammaproteobacteria; Enterobacterales; Enterobacteriaceae. The record is from RNAcentral.
GCGCUGGAGAAUUGAGGGGGGCUGCUCCUAGUACGAGAGGACCGGAGUGGACGCAUCACUGGUGUUCGGGUUGUCAUGCCAAUGGCACUGCCCGGUAGCUAAAUGCGGAAGAGAUAAGUGCUGAAAGCAUCUAAGCACGAAACUUGCCCCGAGAUGAGUUCUCCCUGAGACUUUAAGUCUCCUGAAGGAACGUUGAAGACGACGACGUUGAUAGGCCGGGUGUGUAAGCGCAGCGAUGCGUUGAGCUAACCGGUACUAAUGAACCGUGAGGCUUAACCUUACAACGCCGAAG